GAAUAGUGCCGUUGGUUAAGCACACGCCUCUGGAAAGGGUGAAAUGCGGGUUCGAGUCCCGCCUGACGUCA
Non-coding RNA from Parelaphostrongylus tenuis, 71 nucleotides. The record is from the annotation of a GenBank genome assembly. Lineage: Eukaryota; Metazoa; Nematoda; Chromadorea; Rhabditida; Metastrongylidae.